GCCAGCAGCUAUAUCACCCUGCAGCUCUCAACUGGCUACCCACUGAAGCUAAGCAAGGUUGAGCCUGGUCAGUACCUGGAGAGGAGACCUCCUGGAAAGCCAAGGUUGCUGCUGGAA
This 117-nucleotide ribosomal RNA is filed under the name Lepisosteus oculatus (spotted gar). Lineage: Eukaryota; Metazoa; Chordata; Actinopteri; Semionotiformes; Lepisosteidae. The record is from RNAcentral.